This 736-nucleotide ribosomal RNA is filed under the name uncultured Hyphomicrobiales bacterium. RNAcentral's name for it is "bacterial SSU rRNA". It matches the Rfam family "Bacterial small subunit ribosomal RNA", at positions 97 to 870 of the family's 1533-position model. Lineage: Bacteria; Pseudomonadati; Pseudomonadota; Alphaproteobacteria; Hyphomicrobiales. The record is from RNAcentral.
GGCAGACGGGUGAGUAACAUGUAGGUAUCUGCCCUUUGGCCUGGAAUAACACGAGGAAACUUGUGCUAAUACCGGAUAAGUCUUUACGGAGAAAGCUUUAUGCACCAUUGGAUGAGCCUGCACUUGAUUAGUUUGUUGGUGGGGUAAUGGCCUACCAAGACUGUGAUCAAUAGCUGAUUUGAGAGGAUGAUCAGCCACAUUGGGACUGAGACACGGCCCAAACUCCUACGGGAGGCAGCAGUGGGGAAUCUUGCACAAUGGAGGAAACUCUGAUGCAGCGAUGCCGCGUGAGUGAAGAAGGCCUUUGGGUUGUAAAGCUCUUUCGUCGGGGAAGAAAAUGACUGUACCCGAAUAAGAAGGUCCGGCUAACUUCGUGCCAGCAGCCGCGGUAAUACGAAGGGACCUAGCGUAGUUCGGAAUUACUGGGCUUAAAGAGUUCGUAGGUGGUUGAAAAAGUUGGUGGUGAAAUCCCAGAGCUUAACUCUGGAACUGCCAUCAAAACUUUUCAGCUAGAGUAUGAUAGAGGAAAGCAGAAUUUCUAGUGUAGAGGUGAAAUUCGUAGAUAUUAGAAAGAAUACCAAUUGCGAAGGCAGCUUUCUGGAUCAUUACUGACACUGAGGAACGAAAGCAUGGGUAGCGAAGAGGAUUAGAUACCCUCGUAGUCCAUGCCGUAAACGAUGUGUGUUAGACGUUGGAAAUUUAUUUUCAGUGUCGCAGCGAAAGCGAUAAACACACC